AUACCAAUGGAUAAUGUUAGUAGCUUCUUACUGAUAUUGAGAGAAGCAUGAUGUUACCAUAUGAAAACAAUGAAGGAAGAAGCAAUGUAAACAAGAUGAGUCUCUCACACAAGUAACUUCACAAGAAAUGGAUUAAAACCCAAAAGGAUAGGAACUUGUUUUUACAUGAGGAAAUAUUGAGAUUCAGUUGGUUAAAAAUUAAGGUUCAAAGCUGAACUAUGUGAGGUAGGUACUAUUAUUAGCUUCAUUUUAUAAAUUGGGAAAUUGAGAUAUAGAAGCUCAUAUGAAUGUAUGUAGCAGAGCUAGAAUUUGAACCCAGACAGUCUGAUUCAGAGAUCAUGGGCUUAACCACUCUGGUGGAGUUUUCUUAUCAUGUUAUUUACUGUUUCUCUAGGCAAAUGAAAAAUUUCCAAUAUAUAAACUUUUACAAAAAUAUCAGUCUGAGAGGCUACCAUCAAGUCUUAUUUAAUAUGACAUAUUGAUAUGAUGAUGGGCUUUGAGUAGAUAGAUGAGUGGAUAGAGAUGAAACCUCUAUUAGUGAUCAACUUCCAACUUUGAUGAGCAACCAACGGUCAUGAACCCAGAUAAAAUCACAGAUUCUACAAUCAACAUUAGGUUUCUUGGGUGGGAUGAUGGAUGGGAACGUAUCAAGGCAUUCUUACCAAAGUUCAUAAUGGACACUUUAACCUUUUCUCAUUAACAAGUAAGAGUAAAUCCC
This is a long non-coding RNA of Herpailurus yagouaroundi (jaguarundi), 718 nucleotides long. RefSeq lists it as uncharacterized. NCBI's taxonomy places the organism in Eukaryota, Metazoa, Chordata, Mammalia, Carnivora, Felidae. The transcript has 3 exons. The record is from RefSeq and is a predicted model, not a curated record.